RNAcentral lists this transfer RNA (75 nucleotides) under Bacteriophage sp. RNAcentral's name for it is "tRNA-OTHER". It matches the Rfam family "tRNA". From Rfam's summary of the family: Transfer RNA (tRNA) molecules are approximately 80 nucleotides in length. Their secondary structure includes four short double-helical elements and three loops (D, anti-codon, and T loops). Further hydrogen bonds mediate the characteristic L-shaped molecular structure. tRNAs have two regions of fundamental functional importance: the anti-codon, which is responsible for specific mRNA codon recognition, and the 3' end, to which the tRNAs corresponding amino acid is attached (by aminoacyl-tRNA synthetases). tRNAs cope with the degeneracy of the genetic code in two manners: having more than one tRNA (with a specific anti-codon) for a particular amino acid; and 'wobble' base-pairing, i.e. permitting non-standard base-pairing at the 3rd anti-codon position. RNAcentral also lists the same sequence under 2 other names. The record is from RNAcentral.
UGCCCUAUGGUGUAAUGGUUUUUAGCACAGGGAGCUCUAACCUCCUUAGUCUGGGUUCGAAUCCUAGUGGGGUGA